AUAAUACUCCAUAGAUUAGAGACACUGGAAUGUUCUUUAGUCGAAAGUUCUGGCGCCUUAGGAUGGAUCUGCGGUCGAUUAGGUUGUUGUUGGGGUAACGGCCCAACAAGCCUGUAAUCGAUACGGGUUGUGGGAGCAAGAGCCCGGAGAUGGAAUCUGAGACACGAUUCCAGGCCCUACGGGGCGCAGCAGGCGCGAAAACUUUACAAUGCAGGAAACUGUGAUAAGGGAACUCCGAGUGCCCGUAUACGCGGGCUGUCCGGGUGUUUAAAAAUCAUCUGAAGAAAGGGCCGGGCAAGACCGGUGCCAGCCGCCGCGGUAAUACCGGCGGCUCGAGUGGUGGCCACUAUUAUUGGGCUUAAAGCGUCCGUAGCUGGACCGAUAAGUCUCUUGGGAAAUCCGCCGGCUCAACCGGCGGGCGUCUAAGGGAUACUGUUAGUCUAGGGACCGGGAGAGGUGAGAGGUACUCCGGGGGUAGGAGUGAAAUCCUGUAAUCCCCGGGGGACCACCGAUGGCGAAGGCAUCUCACCAGAACGGCUCCGACAGUGAGGGACGAAAGCUGGGGGAGCGAACCGGAUUAGAUACCCGGGUAGUCCCAGCCGUAAACUAUGCGCGUUAGGUGU
Molecule: ribosomal RNA, 623 nt
Filed under: uncultured archaeon
Lineage: Archaea
Description: bacterial SSU rRNA
Rfam family: Archaeal small subunit ribosomal RNA
Source: RNAcentral